RNAcentral lists this long non-coding RNA (697 nucleotides) under Eutrema salsugineum. RNAcentral describes it as "long non-coding RNA (ESAL_LNC001441)". The record is from RNAcentral. Lineage: Eukaryota; Viridiplantae; Streptophyta; Magnoliopsida; Brassicales; Brassicaceae.
GAAGAGAACUCGGAAAUGAUCCUUGUCUACGAGUUUAUGGAGAAAGGUACGCUUAAGGAGCAUCUAUAUGGCUCGGAUUUGCCUUCACUGACAUGGAAACAGAGACUAGAGAUCUGCAUCGGAGCAGCCAGAGGUUUGCAUUAUCUCCACAGUGGCUCAGAAGGAGCAAUCAUUCACAGAGAUGUCAAAUCCACAAACAUACUACUAGACGAGAACACCGUAGCCAAAGUUGCCGAUUUCGGGCUCUCAAAACUCGCGGUUCGUAAUCAAGAUCCGAUUAAUAUCAGCACUAACAUCAAAGGAACAUUCGGUUACCUCGAUCCUGAGUAUCUGCAGACACACAUCUUGACGGAGAAAUCAGAUGUUUACGCUUUUGGAGUCGUUCUCCUCGAGGUCUUGUGCGCGAGAUCGGCUCUCGAUCCUUCUCUUCCUCACGAGGAAGUGAAUCUAGCCGAGUGGGCGAUGUUCUGCAAAUCCAAAGGGAUAAUCGAUGAGAUCUUAGAUCCGAAAUUGAUAGGUCAGAUCGAGCCGAGUUCGUUGAGGAAAUACAUGGAAAUCGCGGAGAAGUGUUUGAAAGAGUACGGAGACGAGAGGCCGAGCAUGGGGGAUGUGAUCUGGGAUCUGGAGUAUGUUCUUCAGCUUCAGAUGAUGCCGAUUCGCAGAGAGCCUCAUGAGGAUAGCGCCGCGACGAUCUCCG